GAUGAACGCUAGCGACAGGCUUAACACAUGCAAGUCGAGGGGCAGCACGGUGUAGCAAUACACUGGUGGCGACCGGCGCACGGGUGAGUAACACGUGUGCAACCAACCCCGUACCGGGAGAUAACCCGCGGAAACGUGGACUAACAUCCCAUGAUACUCGAGAGCCGCAUGGCUCUAGAUUUAAAAUUCCGGUGGUACGGGACGGGCACGCGCGACAUUAGGUAGUUGGCGGGGUAAGGGCCCACCAAGCCGACGAUGUCUAGGGGUUCUGAGAGGAAGGUCCCCCACACUGGAACUGAGACACGGUCCAGACUCCUACGGGAGGCAGCAGUGAGGAAUAUUGGUCAAUGGGCGAGAGCCUGAACCAGCCAAGUCGCGUGAGGGACGAAUGGUCUAUGGCCUGUAAACCUCUUUUGUCAAGGAAGAAUAAAUCGCACGGGUGCGAUCUUGCCAGUACUUGACGAAUAAGCAUCGGCUAACUCCGUGCCAGCAGCCGCGGUAAUACGGGGGAUGCGAGCGUUAUCCGGAUUUAUUGGGUUUAAAGGGCGCGUAGGCGGGACGUCAAGUCAGCGGUAAAAGACUGCAGCUAAACUGUAGCACGCCGUUGAAACUGGCGCCCUCGAGACGAGACGAGGGAGGCGGAACAAGUGAAGUAGCGGUGAAAUGCAUAGAUAUCACUUGGAACCCCGAUAGCGAAGGCAGCUUCCCAGGCUCGUUCUGACGCUGAUGCGCGAGAGCGUGGGUAGCGAACAGG
RNAcentral lists this ribosomal RNA (754 nucleotides) under uncultured bacterium. RNAcentral describes it as "bacterial SSU rRNA". It matches the Rfam family "Bacterial small subunit ribosomal RNA", at positions 28 to 776 of the family's 1533-position model. The record is from RNAcentral.